GGGAUAUCGCCAAGCGGUAGAGCACUUGACUUUUAAUCAAGGUGUCCGGGGUUCGAUUCCCCGGUAAGCCACCA
This 74-nucleotide transfer RNA is filed under the name uncultured Clostridium sp. Its description in RNAcentral is "tRNA-Lys(ttt)". It matches the Rfam family "tRNA". From Rfam's summary of the family: Transfer RNA (tRNA) molecules are approximately 80 nucleotides in length. Their secondary structure includes four short double-helical elements and three loops (D, anti-codon, and T loops). Lineage: Bacteria; Bacillati; Bacillota; Clostridia; Eubacteriales; Clostridiaceae. The record is from RNAcentral.